Long non-coding RNA from Triticum aestivum (bread wheat), 1076 nucleotides. RefSeq lists it as uncharacterized. The transcript has 3 exons. The record is from RefSeq and is a predicted model, not a curated record. NCBI's taxonomy places the organism in Eukaryota, Viridiplantae, Streptophyta, Magnoliopsida, Poales, Poaceae.
CAGGCGCCAAUCCCCCACCAAAACCUUCCUUCCCCACCGCCGCCGCACGUGCGAUCCCUCCCGCCGGCGAGAGCUCCCGCACCGGCGACCCGCUCCGCCAGCCUCUCCUCCCGUCACCGUCGCGCCCCCUGAGCUCCAGGUCCACGCGAAGGCGUCCCCGACCUCAAGCCGCAGCGCCGCCACCGCCGGGCGCCCGCCGGCCUCGUCUCGACGUCCCUUCAACCACCGAUGCAUCAGGAGAUAUGUUUCCAGGACCGCCACCACCUCUUCUUAUGGGAUAUCCCUCUGUGCCGAGCUCGUCACCCUCAGCUGCACCGUCAUCAUCCAUAGGUGCCAGCAUCGCCAUCAUCGCUAUCCGCGCCAUGUGCCAUCUGCGCCCUCUCUACCAGAGGUGGAGCUGGUGAUCUUGGGGUUGCUCUCGCAACCCCCCGUGCUGUUGCAGCAGGGGAUGUUCUGCUGCGUCUGUGCCCAAGACUUUACGCCUACCGAUACGAUCCUGGCCCUUCCAGCAUGCUUGCAUAAAUUCCAUGAGCUGUGCAUUAUCCCAUGGAUUCGUGGACACACACCUUCUGCGAUGCUUCCAUCACCAUUCCCUGCCCUGACCCUGACAAGACCCACAGCUCAGAUCGCUAUGACGUCGAGGCACAGACAAUGGUUGUGCCAGCUCCGCCUGGAGAGGAGGUGGCAGAGGCUGUGGGGGGCUCUCGUGGGUGGCUGCGCUCUUCAGUGGACAGACUCUCAGGCAGCUGGAGGGGAUGCUCCAGCAGUCAUGCCACUGCAGUUGUACUACCGGUGUCCUCACGGCGUACCACGGGGAGCUGGAGAGUCAACGACUCUGACAAGGAUGACACAGAGGCUGUUGGUGGCUCUCGUGGGUGGCUGCACUCUUAUCUGGCUACACUCUCGAGCACCUGGAGUGGACGCUCAGAGAGCCAUUCCACUAGAAUGGUGUCAUCGGUGUCCUCAGGGUGCACAACUGGAAGGCUGAGCCUGGUACUGAGUGGCUGCGGCAGUACUGAUUUGUGUUCCAGGAGCUGGGAUCCUGAGGCAGCCAUGCAGAAGACGUAGUUCUUCGA